Molecule: unclassified non-coding RNA, 415 nt
Filed under: Hevea brasiliensis (rubber tree)
Lineage: Eukaryota; Viridiplantae; Streptophyta; Magnoliopsida; Malpighiales; Euphorbiaceae
Source: RNAcentral
GCCUCCCCCAGAACGACGGUUCCUCCCUCCACUGUACGCAGACCUGGCAGCAAAUCGUAAUAGCCAAUCAGGAACUUCUUGGUUAGAUUCGUGCAUCAGAUCAGCCAAGGAUCUUGCUAUGGAUGUAUUGUUCUCGUUAAAAAAUGCAGUUGCUAAACCAGUCUUCCCAGCUCUCCCCGUUCGUCCAAUUCUAUGAACAUAAUCAUCGAUAUCAUUAGGGAGAUCGAAGUUCACCACAUGUGCAACAUGAGGAAUGUCAAGCCCACGGGCAGCAACAUCAGUCGCCACCAAAAUUGGCGUGUUCCCACUUCUAAACGACCUCAAUGCUUGUUCUCUUUCCUGUUGUGUUCUAUCCCCAUGAAUGGUAGUGGCAGGAAAACCAUUAAGGCAUAACCAAUGUUCAAGAGCAUCGGCU